RNAcentral lists this ribosomal RNA (478 nucleotides) under uncultured bacterium. RNAcentral describes it as "partial 16S ribosomal RNA". It matches the Rfam family "Bacterial small subunit ribosomal RNA", at positions 28 to 523 of the family's 1533-position model. The record is from RNAcentral.
GACGAACGCUGGCGGCGUGCUUAACACACGCAAGUCGAACGGUAAGGCCCUUCGGGGUACUCGAGUGGCGAACGGGUGAGUAACACGUGGGUGAUCUGCCCUGCACUUCGGGAUAAGCCUGGGAAACUGGGUCUAAUACCGGAUAGGACCACUGCCUGCAUGGGUGGUGGUGGAAAGCUUUUGCGGUGUGGGAUGGGCCCGCGGCCUAUCAGCUUGUUGGUGGGGUGAUGGCCUACUAAGGCGACGACGGGUAGCCGGCCUGAGAGGGUGACCGGCCACACUGGGACUGAGAUACGGCCCAGACUCCUACGGGAGGCAGCAGUGGGGAAUAUUGCACAAUGGGCGCAAGCCUGAUGCAGCGACGCCGCGUGAGGGAUGACGGCCUUCGGGUUGUAAACCUCUUUCAGCACCGACGAAGCGCAAGUGACGGUAGGUGCAGAAGAAGGACCGGCCAACUACGUGCCAGCCGCCGCCGUAA